This is a long non-coding RNA of Drosophila novamexicana, 242 nucleotides long. RefSeq lists it as uncharacterized. The record is from RefSeq and is a predicted model, not a curated record. The transcript is spliced from 3 exons. NCBI's taxonomy places the organism in Eukaryota, Metazoa, Arthropoda, Insecta, Diptera, Drosophilidae.
GCAAAGUGCGUGGAUCAACUUAUAAAACUCCAGGAUCUAUGGAAUGAAGCUGCGCAAAGGUCAGUCAAAGCUUAUAUGCCAUGGACAAUAAAACAUUCACCUAUGUUGGCACCUGAAUGAGCUUGGUUAUUUUAUGCCAUGGAUAUACCUUAAACAAAAUCGGUUCUCAAUUAUGACCAAAAUGAACAUUUUGCCAAUCUGCGUCGAUUCGCAAAUCAACAGAUUUGAAGACUCACGAAUCC